RNAcentral lists this ribosomal RNA (514 nucleotides) under uncultured delta proteobacterium. RNAcentral's name for it is "bacterial SSU rRNA". It matches the Rfam family "Bacterial small subunit ribosomal RNA", at positions 27 to 523 of the family's 1533-position model. Lineage: Bacteria; Deltaproteobacteria. The record is from RNAcentral.
GAACGAACGUUAGCGGCGCGCCUAAGACAUGCAAGUCGAGCGAGAAAGGGCUUCGGCCCCGGUAAAGCGGCGCACGGGUGAGUAACACGUAGGUAAUCAACCCCUGAGUGGUGGACAACUCUCCGAAAGGAGAGCUAAUACAGCAUGACGUGACUACCUUCCGAGGUAGUUUCCAAAGCGGGCCUCUUCAUGAAAGCUCGCGCUCGGGGAUGAGCCUGCGGCCCAUCAGCUAGUUGGAGGGGUAAUGGCCCACCAAGGCUAAGACGGGUAGCUGGUCUGAGAGGAUGAACAGCCACACUGGAACUGAGACACGGUCCAGACUCCUACGGGAGGCAGCAGUCGGGAAUCUUCCGCAAUGGGCGCAAGCCUGACGGAGCGACGCCGCGUGAGCGAUGAAGGCCUUCGGGUUGUAAAGCUCUGUGGGGAGGGAAGAAUAAGUUCAAGUGAAUAGCUUGAAUGAUGACGGUACCUCCUUAGCAAGCACCGGCUAACUCUGUGCCAGCAGCCGCGGUAA